AUUCAGCCGACGAGUGCCAAAUAGGACGAAACGCACGUCUUGAAU
Schistosoma haematobium is the source of this 45-nucleotide non-coding RNA. The record is from Rfam. Lineage: Eukaryota; Metazoa; Platyhelminthes; Trematoda; Strigeidida; Schistosomatidae.